Molecule: long non-coding RNA, 1354 nt
Organism: Pistacia vera
Lineage: Eukaryota; Viridiplantae; Streptophyta; Magnoliopsida; Sapindales; Anacardiaceae
Exons: 9
Source: RefSeq, a predicted model, not a curated record
GGUCAAGACAAUCGGAUCUUAGCAAGUCUUUGAAGCUCGCAAUCCGUUCUCUUCUCACUACUUGCUCAAAACAAGAAUUCAGCAAAGCAUUCAAUAACUUUACUUCUUCUGAGCAAGACUCCCUCCACCGCCUAUUCAUCCAGGUGAUUACUUCUUUGCAUGAAAACAUUGAGGAUGAGUUUCAGUCUUUAUGCCUUGAAACUCAGGCGGGAAACACUCUUGAUACUGUGGAGCAACUUGUGGAAGAACAAGACCUGGAUCCAUUGUCUUCAGAUAAUGAGAGGACCUUGCGGAUAAUUGAAGCUGUACAGCCGUUUCCCUGGACAUGGUCAGAGCAGAGUACUUCAUGUACUUGACAGCUCUAGAUUUUAUGUUCACAUUCUGAUUUAGCUCAAGAUUUGGCUACUCCUGCCUCUAAAUUAGGAAAAAGUUUUCUGCUAUGAACAUGAUACAUUCUGCAAGGCCUUUUUCUAAGUUCACUCUGCUAUACAUAUAUUAGAUACGUAAUGACCAACUUACUCUUGAAGAAUGCCAUUAGUAGUAGACAGAGGCAUAUACAUGGGUGGUGUCAGAUCCCAGUAGACAUUAUGGUUUGAUACUUGUAACCAUUUUUCCUGGAUCAACUUUUCACUUUAAUCUACUACAUGUGAUUAAUUUUAAGAUUUAUCUUCCUUCAUCAAGAAAGAAACAGAGAAUAAAACAAAGAAGAACACAGUUGCAAUCUUUUCUGACAGUGUAGACCUACUAUUUAAUGAUAUUAAGGAAUAUUAUGUAUGAACUAAAAACAAAUAACCACUGAUGGAGAAAUGCUGACAGUGUAUGUUUCUAUACUCUCCUCAUCAUCCAUAACUCUGAUGCAGUCACUAUCGUGACUUCGUAACAAAAAAUUUGAAGGACUAUCCAACUACAUUUGUUUCAUGCUGGAACUGGUUUCAAUGGCCCUUGGAUUACUACUUGAUCGAUAUGCAGUUCAUUCUAUAUCUUGCAAUGGACUUUCUUAUUUCAAGUGUCCUGACUGACAUGCAGGACAAAUAUUAUGGAUGUUACAUGUGAUCUGUCAACAGCGAAGAAGAAUGAGAUCUAGAACUUGAUGCUUAUGCUGGAAAGGGUUAUUGGCAAAUUCCAUUCAGUGCAGGAUGCUUUGCAGAGGUUGUUGUGUUGUGGUUCUGGAACACGCUUGAGGGGAAAAGGACUUUGGCUGCAUGGGUUUGUUUCUUUGCACUAAGUUAAGGUGGAGUAAGCAAGUGCUUUCGUUGAGUGAUUAGGUGAAUAUGGAAUGAAGGAUACAUGAAGAGGUGUCUCUAAGAGGACAGGAGCCUCUACUUAAGAAAUGAGAAACAUUUGCUAUCCCAAU